UGGGUAGUCCGUACGAGCGCACCCUAUCCUUAGUUGCCAGCGAGUAUGUCGGGAACUCUAGGGAGACUGCCGGUGACAAACCGGAGGAAGGUGGGGACGACGUCAAGUCAUCAUGGCCCUUAUGGGCAGGGCUACACACGUGCUACAAUGGCCGGCACAGAGGGCUGCGAAGUCGCAAGGCGGAGCGAAUCUCAGAAAACCGGUCGUAGUCCGGAUUGCAGUCUGCAACUCGACUGCAUGAAGCCGGAAUCGCUAGUAAUCGCGGAUCGGAACGCCGCGGUGAAUACGUUCCCGGGCCUUGUACACACCGCCCGUCACACCAUGGGAGUGGGCUGUACCAGAAGUAGGUAGUCUAACCUUCGGGAGGACGCUUACCACGGUGUGGUUCAUGACUGGGGUGAAGUCGUAACAAGGUAGCCCUAGGGGAACCUGGGGCUGGAUCACCUCCUU
RNAcentral lists this ribosomal RNA (450 nucleotides) under uncultured Thiotrichales bacterium. RNAcentral describes it as "bacterial SSU rRNA". It matches the Rfam family "Bacterial small subunit ribosomal RNA", at positions 1077 to 1532 of the family's 1533-position model. The record is from RNAcentral. Lineage: Bacteria; Pseudomonadati; Pseudomonadota; Gammaproteobacteria; Thiotrichales.